This is a long non-coding RNA of Capsicum annuum, 854 nucleotides long. RefSeq lists it as uncharacterized. The record is from RefSeq and is a predicted model, not a curated record. NCBI's taxonomy places the organism in Eukaryota, Viridiplantae, Streptophyta, Magnoliopsida, Solanales, Solanaceae. The transcript has 2 exons.
UCAUCUUCAACUACAAGCAAAUCCCUGUCAAUUGUCGCCCCUAUCACCCUCACCUCUCUCUCUUUCUUAUCUCUGAAAUCUCACAGACCUCGAGCCUCGAUUGCUGACUUUGACUUAGAGGAAUUCUCUAUUUCUUGCCAAAACUCUAAUCUAAAUCAGGUCAUAAAUUCGAAUUCGGAAUUUGGGGGUAUGUCUUCCUCCCACUGGUAUUUUCCUUCAACUUGCUCAAUCAAUCUCUCAUACCCCGCUCAAACGGUUAUUUUUGAAAUUCAAAGUAUUACCUUCCCCUAUAAAUAGGGAUUGAGGGGAAGAAGGCAAAGGGGGAUUCUUUGGGCAAAAAAUGGGGAUUCGGGAGGAGCGUAUUCAAACGUCGAUCCCGACGAAAAAAUGGAUUCCGAAGAAUCAAAAAUUUGCGUUGGAAGUCCGUCGUCCGUCGUCAAGGCUCGUCGCCCCAGUUCCUGCCCGGAAACAGGUACAAAGUGAUAUAAGGAAAUAUGUCUUUGAUAGCCUCGAACAAUUGUGACUACGACAUAGGAGACUAUGAUUGUGGUGAAGAUAGUUAUGGCUAUAAAGAAGAUGGAUAUUAUGGGGGUUAUGAAAGUAGCCAUGAUUAAGAGAUGGAUGAAAAUGAGGGCUACUAUUCCGAAGGAAAAUGUGAGAUGAAUGAUGAUCCUAGUUCUUAUAGUGAGUAUGGAGAUGAUGAAGAGCCUUUUGAUGGUUCUUAUGAGGAAGAUGGGACAUGUGAGGAGUAUUACACUUUCCACUCCGAGCCUACAGGUGAUAUAAGGUAUUACUUGUUCAUUUACAAAUCUUAUGAUGAUCAUGGUGAGAAUGUAUGCGAGGUUUAUAAAGUU